GGUAUAUAGUUCAGUGGUGGAGUGCUUGCCUUGCAUGCUUGAGGCCCUGGGUUGAAUCCCCAGCACCG
This 68-nucleotide transfer RNA is filed under the name Marmota monax (woodchuck). RNAcentral's name for it is "tRNA.Ala". Lineage: Eukaryota; Metazoa; Chordata; Mammalia; Rodentia; Sciuridae. The record is from RNAcentral.